UAUAAAUGGAUGUCAGGGAGUGCGGCCGGCGCUAGGACCUGCUUGCCGGUGCUCACUUACAGAGCCCCUGGAGAUGGCUGCACCUGGCGCCCAGUUCCCUGGUUCCAGUCCCCGCGCUCUCUCCCCUGCUUCCCUGUGCUCAGUGUAUGAAGCGCCUUCCACUGCUGAAGGUUCCAUCCAUAGAACGAGAACCCACUCCUUCCCCGGGUCAACGUUCCAUCAGCUCAGCCUCUAAUGGCCGGCGAGGGGCUGGAGGAGGAGGAGCUCUGGCUGUAUGGGG
This is a non-coding RNA of Pelobates cultripes (western spadefoot toad), 280 nucleotides long. The record is from the annotation of a GenBank genome assembly. Lineage: Eukaryota; Metazoa; Chordata; Amphibia; Anura; Pelobatidae.